CCUACGGGAGGCAGCAGUGGGGAAUAUUGCGCAAUGGACGAAAGUCUGACGCAGCGACGCCGCGUGAGGGAUGACUGCCCUAUGGGUUGUAAACCUCUUUUGUAUGGGGGGAAUAAGCUUUACGAGUAGAGUGAUGACAGUACCAUACGAAUAAGCAUCGGCUAACUCCGUGCCAGCAGCCGCGGUAAUACGGAGGAUGCGAGCGUUAUCCGGAUUUAUUGGGUUUAAAGGGUGCGUAGGCGGCAUUAUAAGUUAGUGGUAAAAUAUUGGGGCUUCACCUCACUACGCCAUUAAUACUGUAGAGC
This 305-nucleotide ribosomal RNA is filed under the name uncultured bacterium. RNAcentral describes it as "bacterial SSU rRNA". It matches the Rfam family "Bacterial small subunit ribosomal RNA", at positions 338 to 641 of the family's 1533-position model. The record is from RNAcentral.